This 445-nucleotide ribosomal RNA is filed under the name uncultured soil bacterium. Its description in RNAcentral is "bacterial SSU rRNA". It matches the Rfam family "Bacterial small subunit ribosomal RNA", at positions 26 to 518 of the family's 1533-position model. The record is from RNAcentral.
AGAACGAACGCUGGCGGCAUGCCUAAUACAUGCAAGUCGAACGAACACUUCGGUGUUAGUGGCGCACGGGUGCGUAACGCGUGGGAAUCUGCCCUUGGGUUCGGAAUAACAGUUGGAAACGACUGCUAAUACCGGAUGAUGACGAAAGUCCAAAGAUUUAUCGCCCAGGGAUGAGCCCGCGUAGGAUUAGCUAGUUGGUGAGGUAAAGGCUCACCAAGGCGACGAUCCUUAGCUGGUCUGAGAGGAUGAUCAGCCACACUGGGACUGAGACACGGCCCAGACUCCUACGGGAGGCAGCAGUAGGGAAUAUUGGACAAUGGGCGCAAGCCUGAUCCAGCAAUGCCGCGUGAGUGAUGAAGGCCUUAGGGUUGUAAAGCUCUUUUACCCGAGAUGAUAAUGACAGUAUCGGAGAAUAAGCCCCGGCUAACUCCGUGCCAGCAGCCGC